AAUUCGGUCGGUGCCUACAACAAGUCUUGAAUUCGGUACCAAGCCCUACUUUUCCCUUUGUAUUUGAUCUAUUACUUU
Molecule: long non-coding RNA, 78 nt
Organism: Etheostoma spectabile (orangethroat darter)
Lineage: Eukaryota; Metazoa; Chordata; Actinopteri; Perciformes; Percidae
Exons: 3
Source: RefSeq, a predicted model, not a curated record